RNAcentral lists this ribosomal RNA (253 nucleotides) under uncultured bacterium. Its description in RNAcentral is "partial 16S ribosomal RNA". It matches the Rfam family "Bacterial small subunit ribosomal RNA", at positions 524 to 776 of the family's 1533-position model. The record is from RNAcentral.
UACGAAGGGGGCUAGCGUUGCUCGGAAUCACUGGGCGUAAAGCGCACGUAGGCGGAUUGCUGAGUCAGGGGUGAAAUCCUGGAGCUCAACUCCAGAACUGCCCUUGAUACUGGCGGUCUCGAGUCCGGGAGAGGUGAGUGGAACGGCGAGUGUAGAGGUGAAAUUCGUAGAUAUUCGCAAGAACACCAGUGGCGAAGGCGGCUCACUGGCCCGGUACUGACGCUGAGGUGCGAAAGCGUGGGGAGCAAACAGG